GCAGUUGACGCUUGAUUUUCACCGAAGCUUGCUUCACCGAAAAUCAAGAGUAGCGAACGGGUGAGUAACGCGUGGGUAACCUACCUAUCAGCGGGGGAUAACUAUUGGAAACGAUAGCUAAUACCGCAUAACAAUGUUGGAUGCAUAUUCGACAUUUGAAAGUACCAACUGGUACACUGAGAGAUGGACCCGCGUUGUAUUAGCUAGUUGGUAGUGUAAUGGACUACCAAGGCGAUGAUACAUAGCCGACCUGAGAGGGUGAUCGGCCACA
RNAcentral lists this ribosomal RNA (271 nucleotides) under Pseudolactococcus raffinolactis. RNAcentral describes it as "Lactococcus raffinolactis partial 16S ribosomal RNA". It matches the Rfam family "Bacterial small subunit ribosomal RNA", at positions 60 to 312 of the family's 1533-position model. Lineage: Bacteria; Bacillati; Bacillota; Bacilli; Lactobacillales; Streptococcaceae. The record is from RNAcentral.